RNAcentral lists this ribosomal RNA (253 nucleotides) under uncultured bacterium. RNAcentral's name for it is "partial 16S ribosomal RNA". It matches the Rfam family "Bacterial small subunit ribosomal RNA", at positions 524 to 776 of the family's 1533-position model. The record is from RNAcentral.
UACGAAGGGGGCUAGCGUUGUUCGGAAUCACUGGGCGUAAAGGGCGCGUAGGCGGCUCUUCAAGUCGGGGGUGAAGGCCUGUGGCUCAACCACAGAAUUGCCUUCGAUACUGUUAGGCUUGAGACCGGAAGAGGUGAGUGGAACUGCGAGUGUAGAGGUGAAAUUCGUAGAUAUUCGCAAGAACACCAGUGGCGAAGGCGGCUCACUGGUCCGGUUCUGACGCUGAGGCGCGAAAGCGUGGGGAGCAAACAGG